AUGUCUUUUUCCAGUGAAUAUAGGGUUUUUGUAUGGACAGUUUUGACAUACUACAUAUAGAAUACAGGGGCGGAUCCAGGAUUUUGCAAAGUGGGGCGAAGUUUUUUAAAUUCGCCGAGCGGAGCGAGGCGAACAAAUUUUGGGACCUUUUUUUGGCUAAAAAACAUAAAAUAAGUGUAAAAUGCACUUUUUAAACGGUUCUUGACGUGGGGCAUGUAUAUUUAAUAGUUGCUGUUAAGUGUAAGAGUUGGACAUUUUUGAUGUUGUAUUCUCCCCAUAAAUUGUCUAUCAUAAAAUUAUAGUAUGGGUCAAAAGCUAUGAACUGAUAUAUUUGAUGUGGGACUUGUCAGUAAAAAAAUUGACAUGGAAAAUUCUCGCUUGUUGUAUGUUAAGUUAGCAUAAACUCACAGAUUUCUUGUUGUAAACAAGAUACACGCCGCGCUAUUCGAUGAAUUUUACAAUACGAGCGACACGAGUUAAAAAAGACAAACAAGCAAUUUUUAUACAAAUGUUUGGUUGAUAUGUUUUACCCAAC
RNAcentral lists this long non-coding RNA (535 nucleotides) under Mytilus galloprovincialis (Mediterranean mussel). Lineage: Eukaryota; Metazoa; Mollusca; Bivalvia; Mytilida; Mytilidae. The record is from RNAcentral.